UACGUAGGGCGCAAGCGUUGUCCGGAAUUAUUGGGCGUAAAGAGCUCGUAGGCGGUCUGUCGCGUCGGAUGUGAAAGCCCGGGGCUUAACCCCGGGUCUGCAUUCGAUACGGGCAGACUAGAGUGUGGUAGGGGAGAUCGGAAUUCCUGGUGUAGCGGUGAAAUGCGCAGAUAUCAGGAGGAACACCGGUGGCGAAGGCGGCACUCUGGGCCGGUACUGACGCUCAGGAGCGAAAGCGUGGGGAGCAAACAGG
This 253-nucleotide ribosomal RNA is filed under the name uncultured bacterium. RNAcentral describes it as "partial 16S ribosomal RNA". It matches the Rfam family "Bacterial small subunit ribosomal RNA", at positions 524 to 776 of the family's 1533-position model. The record is from RNAcentral.